Molecule: ribosomal RNA, 701 nt
Filed under: Arthrobacter sp. LCSAOTU6
Lineage: Bacteria; Bacillati; Actinomycetota; Actinomycetes; Micrococcales; Micrococcaceae
Description: bacterial SSU rRNA
Rfam family: Bacterial small subunit ribosomal RNA
Source: RNAcentral
AGGAUUAGAUACCUGGUAGUCCAUGCCGUAAACGUUGGGCACUAGGUGUGGGGGACAUUCCACGUUUUCCGCGCCGUAGCUAACGCAUUAAGUGCCCCGCCUGGGGAGUACGGCCGCAAGGCUAAAACUCAAAGGAAUUGACGGGGGCCCGCACAAGCGGCGGAGCAUGCGGAUUAAUUCGAUGCAACGCGAAGAACCUUACCAAGGCUUGACAUGGACCGGACCGGGCUGGAAACAGUCCUUCCCCUUUGGGGCCGGUUCACAGGUGGUGCAUGGUUGUCGUCAGCUCGUGUCGUGAGAUGUUGGGUUAAGUCCCGCAACGAGCGCAACCCUCGUUCCAUGUUGCCAGCGCGUAAUGGCGGGGACUCAUGGGAGACUGCCGGGGUCAACUCGGAGGAAGGUGGGGACGACGUCAAAUCAUCAUGCCCCUUAUGUCUUGGGCUUCACGCAUGCUACAAUGGCCGGUACAAAGGGUUGCGAUACUGUGAGGUGGAGCUAAUCCCAAAAAGCCGGUCUCAGUUCGGAUUGGGGUCUGCAACUCGACCCCAUGAAGUCGGAGUCGCUAGUAAUCGCAGAUCAGCAACGCUGCGGUGAAUACGUUCCCGGGCCUUGUACACACCGCCCGUCAAGUCACGAAAGUUGGUAACACCCGAAGCCGGUGGCCUAACCCCUUGUGGGAGGGAGCUGUCGAAGUGGGACUG